This 468-nucleotide ribosomal RNA is filed under the name uncultured bacterium. RNAcentral describes it as "partial 16S ribosomal RNA". It matches the Rfam family "Bacterial small subunit ribosomal RNA", at positions 35 to 507 of the family's 1533-position model. The record is from RNAcentral.
GGGGGGGGCGGGGGGGGGGCGGAACGCAUGCAAGGCGAACGGAAAGGCCGUGCUUUGGUGGGGUGCUCGAGUGGCGAACGGGUGAGUAACACGUGAGUAACCUGCCCUUGACUUUGGGAUAACUUCAGGAAACUGGGGCUAAUACCGGAUAGGAGCUCCUGCUGCAUGGUGGGGGUUGGAAAGUUUCGGCGGUUGGGGAUGGACUCGCGGCUUAUCAGCUUGUUGGUGGGGUAGUGGCUUACCAAGGCUUUGACGGGUAGCCGGCCUGAGAGGGUGACCGGCCACAUUGGGACUGAGAUACGGCCCAGACUCCUACGGGAGGCAGCAGUGGGGAAUAUUGCACAAUGGGCGGAAGCCUGAUGCAGCAACGCCGCGUGCGGGAUGACGGCCUUCGGGUUGUAAACCGCUUUCGCCUGUGACGAAGCGUGAGUGACGGUAAUGGGUAAAGAAGCACCGGCUAACUACGUG